Molecule: ribosomal RNA, 208 nt
Filed under: uncultured bacterium
Lineage: Bacteria
Description: partial 16S ribosomal RNA
Rfam family: Bacterial small subunit ribosomal RNA
Source: RNAcentral
CGCGUAGGCGGCUUUAUAAGUCUGGAGUGAAAGUCCCUCUUUUCAAGGGAGGAAUUGCUUUGGAAACUAUAGAGCUUGAGUGCAGGAGAGGUUAUCGGAAUUCCCGGUGUAGCGGUGAAAUGCGUAGAUAUCGGGAGGAACAUCGGUGGCGAAGGCGGGUAACUGGACUGCAACUGACGCUGAGGCGCGAAAGUGUGGGGAGCAAACA